GCCAGUGGCAAGAAUCAAAUCCGACCCUCAGACAGAGAAAUAAGUUUUAGGGAAUCAUAUGCUAAAAGGGGAGGCAAGGCAUAUAUCCUUCACUAAUCUCCAAAUGCUUUACUUGAGAUCAAGUGUGGCAAGAAUCAAAUCCGACCCUCAGACAGAGAAAUAAGGUUUAGGGAAUCAUAUGCUAAAAGGGGAGGCAAGGCAUAUAUCCUUCACUAAUCUCCAAAUGCUUUACUUGAGAUCAAGUGUGAUCCUAAUUCUAUUAACAAUCUUUGCUUGCUAGCAACAAAUUCUUUAGACUAACAUAGUAGGCUAGAAUCAUAUGCCUUACCUAACCGAUGUUUACUUGAAAGAUGCCAAUUACAGGGACUUAUAUAAAGACUAGCCAUUGAUGAUCCAUUUCCACGAUCACCAUUUGAAACAAACACUUGAACUUAUUGCAAUUAAUUCACCUCUGCUUUUAUUCUGAAUCAAGGCAAUGGCAGAAGGAGUCCUCUUCAACAUUGCAGAAGGAAUCAUUGGAAGGUUAGGCUCCCUGGUUUUGCAAGAGAUUGCAUUGCCUUGGGGUGUCAAAGAUGAGCUCCGACAGCUUAAGGAUAAAGUUGACUCACUCCGAGCUGUUCUUCUUGAUGCUGAGCAAAAGCAAGCCAAGGAAAAUGAAGUCAAAGUGUGGCUCGAAAGCGUAGAAGAUGCAGUUUAUGAAGCUGAUGACGUGCUCGAUGAGUUUGAAGCUCGGUGGAGACAAAUGGUGCCUGGAAAUAAUAAAGUGUCAAAGCAGGUAUGCAUCUUCUUCUCUAGCUCAAAUCAGCUUGUUUUUGGGCUGAAAAUGGGUCAUAAGAUAAAAGAUCUUAACAAGAGACUUCAUGAGAUUGCCUCGAAUAGAACAUUUCUUCAGUUAGAAAGGAAUCGUGAAGAUGUAGAAUUUGUAAGAAGAGAGAGGGUCACUCACUCGUUUGUCCCGGAGGGUAAAAUAAUAGGGAGAGAUGUAGAAAAAGGAGAAAUUAUUCAACUUUUGUUGGAUUUGGAUCCCAUCUCUACAAAGAACACAGAGAAUGUGUCCACCAUUUCCAUUGUGGGAUUUGGAGGAAUGGGAAAAACUGCACUUGCCCAAUUCGUAUUCAACGAUGAAAAGGUUCAAAAGCAUUUUGAGCCGAAAAUGUGGACAUGUGUCUCUAAUUCAUUUCAGUUGGAUACACUUGUUAAGAAAAUCCUAAUAAAAACUGACAUGUCCUACAUGGAUCAGUUGCAAAAUGAGCUUAGGAAGAAGAUCGAUGGGAAGAGAUACCUCCUUGUGUUAGACGAUGUGUGGAAUGAGAAUCGUGAAAAAUGGCUUGCCUUAAAAGACUUGUUGAUGGGCGGUGGAAAAGGUAGUAAAAUACUAAUAACUACUCGUAGUGAAAAAGUUGCAAAAAUAACCGACACAUCUCAACCAUAUAACUUAAGGGGUUUAAGUGAAGAGCAGUCUUGGUUUUUGUUUAAGAAAAUGGCAUUCCAAGAAGGAAAAGAGCCAGAGAGUUCAACCAUUAAGGCGAUUGGGGAGGAGAUUGCUAGAAAAUGUCAGGGGGUUCCUCUUGCUAUAAGGACCAUAGGACGGAUGUUGUACACUAGAGAUCCAGAAACUGAGUGGUUGGCUUUCAAGAAUAACAAGCUUUCAACAAUAAGGCAAGAAGAAAAUGAUAUUUUACCAACACUUCAGCUGAGUUAUGAUGUUCUCCCAUCACAUUUGAAACAUUGUUUUGCUUAUUGUAGUUUGUCCCCGCCUGAUUAUGAGAUUCCCGUAGAGAAUUUAAUUAGGUUGUGGGUGGCACAAGGGUUCGUUAAGUCUUCAAAUCCUAAUGAGUGCUUGGAAGAUGUUGGUUAUGAAUAUUAUAAAGAACUAGUUUGGAGAUCUUUUUUCCAAGAAGAAGAAAAAGAUGAGUUUGGUAUAAUAAAAAGCUGUAAAAUGCAUGAUCUCAUGAAUGAACUUGCUGUUAAAGUGGCAGGGGAGGGAAGCACAAGAAUAGAUCGCAAUAAGACUGAUUUUGAUGCAAAACGUCUUCUUCAUGUAUCUUUCGAUUUCAAUGUUGAUUCAUCGGAAUGGAAAAUACCAACAUCCUUGCUGGAAUCAAAUAAGCUAAGGACUUUUCUUUUCCUAAGCCAAAAUGGGUGGGAGAUGUCAUUCCAUAAGUCAUUUUGUGCUACAAUUGCUUCAAAUUUUAAGUCAUUGCGUAUGUUGAGUUUGAAUGAAUUGAGUGUUACGAAAUUGCCAAAAUGUCUUAGGAAAAUGAUACAUUUAAGAUAUCUUGAUCUUAGUGGAAAUCCCAUUAAGAGACUUCCAAAUUGGAUAGUGAAACUUCAAAAUUUGGAAACACUAGAUCUCUCAAGAUGUGAGUAUCUUGUGGAAUUGCCUAGAGAUAUUAAGAAAUUGAUCAACUUGAGGCAUCUCAUUUUGGCAAAUUGUGACAACUUGGCUUGGAUUCCUCGUGGAUUGGGUGAAUUGACUCAUGUUCGUACUUUGAAUACAUUUGUUUUGAGUGAAAACAAAUCCAUGUUGAGGGACAGUGCAGGGCUCAGUGAGUUGGGAAAGCUGAAGGAUUUAAGAGGAAAGUUGAAGAUCAGAAAUUUGUGGUGCGAGCAAGAUAUGGUGUCAGAAUUGAAUUAUGAUUGUGCAGUUUUGAAGGAGAAACGACAUCUCUAUUCGUUGGCUUUAUAUUGGAUGGACAUUGAAAGAGAAAAUAAUGAUGCGGAGGAGAGUGAUGUAAUUAUAAAGUCAAUGGAAGCGCUGCAGCCCCAUUCGAGUCUAAAAAAGUUAGUCGUGAAAGGAUACCCGGGUGUGAGGUUUGCGAGUUGGUUUCAUUCUCUCACAAAUAUUGUUAAUCUCAAAUUGUCUGACUGUGAUAGAUGCCAACAUCUUCCACCGUUGGAUCAUUUACCUUUUCUUAAGAGUCUUCAUCUUAACGAGUUAUGGAAUUUGGAGCACAUAUCUGCAGAAGACAUGGUUAAAGACUUUGCCAGUGAUGAGACGAUGAUGAUGUCAGCUGCUUCUCCAUCGACGACCUUCUUUCCCUCCUUAGAGAGGCUUUCUCUAAUUGAUUGCCCUAAUCUCAAGGGAUGGUGGAGGAAUGAAACAGCUUCAACUUCAGUUUCUUCAUUUCCUUGUCUUUCUACUUUAUCCAUAUGUGAUUGUCCUAACUUGACUUUCAUGCCGCUGUACCCAAAUCUUGAUCAACUGCGGUUAGAGAGAAGCAGCUGGAAGGUCCUCCUUCCCUCCUCCUUUGUUCUCUCCAAAUUAAAAUCUCUGGAGAUUACGGGCGUUGAGGAUAUAGAAGAAGGGAUUGGAAACCUCACAUUACUUGAGAAGCUUCAAAUUAAUUAUUGUCCUAAUUUGGCAUCACUACCAGAUCAAGGGAUGGGUCGCCUCAUCUCCUUACAGGAACUGGACAUUUGGGAUUGCCCGAAAUUGGGGUCACUACCAGAAGGGAUGGGCAACCUCAAAUCACUUCAGUGGCUUAGGAUAGGGUAUUGCCCUAAUUUGGCAUCACUCCCGGAAGGGCUUCGUUGCCUCCUCUCAUUAAAAAGGUUGAUAAUUGAUGGUUGCCCCAUCUUAAAGCAAAGAUGCCAGAAAGAAACAGGGGAGGACUGGUCCAAGAUUGCUCACAUCCCAGACAUUAGCAUUGAUUGAGGUUAUGAAUUUUAAGGGUUGGUUCAGUGGAGAUUGGAUCCCCACUAAAAACUCUUAUGGCUUGAUUGUGAUUGUGCAACAGCAGGUCACCAAAAAUGUGGUAGUGAUUAAAAGAAGAAACUGAUUAGGCAUCCUGGCUUUGAUCAUACAAGUGACUCGGUUGUACUUGUAACUCUCAAAUUUCCUUAUAGCUUUUGACAUUGUGAAAGCAGUUUGUAUUUUGUCAUGAUGGCUGAUAUUUAUGAAUUAAAUUUCAGAUUCAUCUGCCAAGAAUGAGGUUAAUUCCCUUCAGUAUUCAUCUUUUGGUUGUACUUUAGUUAAUGAUUGAGUAAUAAUUUGGUUGUUUAAAUUAAGAGAUGUUAA
Molecule: RNA transcript, 4021 nt
Organism: Prunus dulcis (almond)
Lineage: Eukaryota; Viridiplantae; Streptophyta; Magnoliopsida; Rosales; Rosaceae
Gene name: disease resistance protein RGA2-like
Exons: 5
Source: RefSeq, a predicted model, not a curated record